AUGGCUUUAAGAGGCAAAUACACACAGAAAGGUAAAGAAACUCUCCAUAAAACCCAUGGAAAAGACUGUACACCUCCUCCUUGGAUUCUUUCUAGAGUCACAGAU
Molecule: small nucleolar RNA, 105 nt
Organism: Cricetulus griseus (Chinese hamster)
Lineage: Eukaryota; Metazoa; Chordata; Mammalia; Rodentia; Cricetidae
Source: Ensembl